UUUAUGGAGAGUUUGAUCCUGGCUCAGGAUGAACGCUGGCGGCGUGCCUAAUACAUGCAAGUCGAGCGAACAGAUAAGGAGCUUGCUCCUUUGACGUUAGCGGCGGACGGGUGAGUAACACGUGGGUAACCUACCUAUAAGACUGGAAUAACUUCGGGAAACCGAAGCUAAUGCCGGAUAACAUGUAGAACCGCAUGGUUCUACAGU
This 207-nucleotide ribosomal RNA is filed under the name Staphylococcus lloydii. Its description in RNAcentral is "partial 16S ribosomal RNA". It matches the Rfam family "Bacterial small subunit ribosomal RNA", at positions 1 to 202 of the family's 1533-position model. The record is from RNAcentral. Lineage: Bacteria; Bacillati; Bacillota; Bacilli; Caryophanales; Staphylococcaceae.